GAUGAACGCUGGCGGCGUGCCUAAUACAUGCAAGUCGAGCGAACAGACGAGAAGCUUGCUCCUCUGACGUUAGCGGCGGACGGGUGAGUAACACGUGGAUAACCUACCUAUAAGACUGGGAUAACUUCGGGAAACCGGAGCUAAUACCGGAUAAUAUAUUGAACCGCAUGGUUCAAUAGUGAAAGACGGUUUUGCUGUCACUUAUAGAUGGAUCCGCGCCGCAUUAGCUAGUUGGUAAGAUAACGGCUUACCAAGGCAACGAUGCGUAGCCGACCUGAGAGGGUGAUCGGCCACACUGGAACUGAGACACGGUCCAGACUCCUACGGGAGGCAGCAGUAGGGAAUCUUCCGCAAUGGGCGAAAGCUUGACGGAGCAACGCCGCGUGAGUGAUGAAGGUCUUCGGAUCGUAAAACUCUGUUAUUAGGGAAGAACAAAUGUGUAAGUAACUAUGCACGUCUUGACGGUACCUAAUCAGAAAGCCACGGCUAACUACGUG
RNAcentral lists this ribosomal RNA (497 nucleotides) under uncultured bacterium. RNAcentral describes it as "partial 16S ribosomal RNA". It matches the Rfam family "Bacterial small subunit ribosomal RNA", at positions 28 to 507 of the family's 1533-position model. The record is from RNAcentral.